CCUACGGGAGGCAGCAGUGAGGAAUUUUCCGCAAUGGGCGAAAGCCUGACGGAGCAAUGCCGCGUGGAGGAGGAAGGCCUGUGGGUCGUAAACUCCUUUUCUCAGAGAAGAAGUUCUGACGGUAUCUGAGGAAUAAGCAUCGGCUAACUCUGUGCCAGCAGCCGCGGUAAUACAGGGGAUGCAAGCGUUAUCCGGAAUUAUUGGGCGUAAAGCGUCCUGAGGUGGCUUACCCAGUCGACUGUGAAAGCUCAAGGCUUAACCUUGAAACGGCAGUCGAAACUUGUAAGCUUGAGUACGGUAGGGGCAGAGGGAAUUCCCGGAGGAGAGGUGAAAUUCGUAGAUAUCGGGAGGAAGGCCAAAGGCGAAAGCACUCUGCUGGGCCGAUUACUGACACUGACAGACGAAAGCUAGGGGAGCGAAAGGGAUUAGAUACCCUGUAGUCCUAGCCGUAAACGAUGGAUACUAAGUGUUGCGCGACUCAAAACGUGCAGUGCUGCAGCUAACGCGGUAAGUAUCCCGCCUGGGGAGUAUGCCCGCAAGGGUGAAACUCAAAUGAAUUGACGG
Molecule: ribosomal RNA, 564 nt
Filed under: uncultured bacterium
Lineage: Bacteria
Description: bacterial SSU rRNA
Rfam family: Bacterial small subunit ribosomal RNA
Source: RNAcentral